Molecule: ribosomal RNA, 925 nt
Filed under: uncultured bacterium
Lineage: Bacteria
Description: bacterial SSU rRNA
Rfam family: Bacterial small subunit ribosomal RNA
Source: RNAcentral
GAUGUGAAANNCGGGGGCUCAACCUNCNGGACUGCAUCCGAUACUGCCAAGCUAGAGUACUGGAGAGGUGUCUAGAAUUCUCGGUGUAGCAGUGAAAUGCGUAGAUAUCGAGAGGAAUACCAAUGGCGAAGGCGGGACACUGGACAGUUACUGACGCUGAGGCACGAAGGCUAGGGUAGCGAACGGGAUUAGAUACCCCGGUAGUCCUAGCAGUAAACGGUGCACGUUUGGUGUGGGGGGAUUCGACCCCUUCCGCGCCGGAGCUAACGCGUUAAGCGUGCCGCCUGGGAAGUACGAUCGCAAGAUUAAAACUCAAAGAAAUUGACGGGGACCCGCACAAGCGGUGGAGUAUGUGGCUUAAUUCGAUGCAACGCGAAGAACCUUACCUGGUCUUGACAUGCACUGUGUCUCCGGUGAAAGCCGGAUAGUGUAGCAAUACACGCUCUGCACAGGUGCUGCAUGGCUGUCGUCAGCUCGUGUUGUGAGAUGUUGGGUUAAGUCCCGCAACGAGCGCAACCCCUGUGAUUUGUUGCCAUCGGGUAAUGCCAGGCACUCGAAUCAGACUGCCUAGAUCAACUAGGAGGAAGGUGGGGACGACGUCAAGUCCGUAUGGCCCUUACGACCAGGGCUGCACACGUACUACAAUGCCCAGCACAAUGUGAACCGAUACCGCGAGGUGGAGGAAAUCUAUAAAACUGGGCUCAGUUCAGAUUGCAGGCUGCAACUCGCCUGCAUGAAGUUGGAAUCGCUAGUAAUGGCGCAUCAGCUACGGCGCCGUGAAUACGUUCCCGGGUCUUGUACACACCGCCCGUCACAUCAUGGAAGCUGGUUUCGCCCGAAGUGCCUGCGCCAACCGUAAGGAGGCAGGGCCCUAAGGCAAGACUGGUAACUGGGAUGAAGUCGUAACAAGGUAACCAAGGGCGAA